Long non-coding RNA from Melitaea cinxia (Glanville fritillary), 123 nucleotides. RefSeq lists it as uncharacterized. The transcript has 3 exons. The record is from RefSeq and is a predicted model, not a curated record. Lineage: Eukaryota; Metazoa; Arthropoda; Insecta; Lepidoptera; Nymphalidae.
CUUUCUGUACGGUUAAUCGGGGUAACUUUGACAGAUCAUUACUAUAUUUUUUUAGCUAACUUUGACAAUGUUAAAUAUGAGACACAAGAGUUAAUUUACUAUGUGCUCUCAGGUUGGUUUUCA